GGCCCUAUCGUAUAGCGGCCUAGUACGCCGCCCUCUCACGGCGGUAACGCGGGUUCGAAUCCCGCUAGGGUCACCG
RNAcentral lists this transfer RNA (76 nucleotides) under Leucobacter komagatae. Its description in RNAcentral is "tRNA-Glu". It matches the Rfam family "tRNA". Rfam says of the family: Transfer RNA (tRNA) molecules are approximately 80 nucleotides in length. Their secondary structure includes four short double-helical elements and three loops (D, anti-codon, and T loops). The record is from RNAcentral. Lineage: Bacteria; Bacillati; Actinomycetota; Actinomycetes; Micrococcales; Microbacteriaceae. RNAcentral also lists the same sequence under 1 other name.